UUCCGCCCUUUAGUGCUGCAGCAAACGCAUUAAGCACUCCGCCUGGGGAGUACGACCGCAAGGUUGAAACUCAAAGGAAUUGACGGGGGCCCGCACAAGCGGUGGAGCAUGUGGUUUAAUUCGAAGCAACGCGAAGAACCUUACCAAGUCUUGACAUCCUUUGACCGCUCUAGAGAUAGAGUCUUCCCCUUCGGGGCACAAUGAGACGUGGGGCGCG
This 217-nucleotide ribosomal RNA is filed under the name Staphylococcus sp. RNAcentral describes it as "partial 16S ribosomal RNA". It matches the Rfam family "Bacterial small subunit ribosomal RNA", at positions 831 to 1047 of the family's 1533-position model. The record is from RNAcentral. Lineage: Bacteria; Bacillati; Bacillota; Bacilli; Caryophanales; Staphylococcaceae.